GCCUCUUGAUUUAACCAUAAGAGGUCCAGCCUGCCCAGUGACAUUGUUCAACGGCCGCGGUAUCCUAACCGUGCGAAGGUAGCGUAAUCACUUGUCCUUUAAAUAAGGACUAGUAUGAAUGGCCCCACGAAAGCUAUACUGUCUCCUUUUUCUAAUCAGUUAAACUAAUCUCCCCGUGAAGAAGCGGGGAUAAACAUAUAAGACGAGAAGACCCUAUGGAGCUUUAAAUAACUGAAACAUUUGCAUCCCACUUUAAAUUUCCGAAAUCUACACUUAAUUCCACAUCUUGUUUCUAGUUUUAGGUUGGGGUGACCACGGAGAAAAACCAAACCUCCAUGCCGAAAGAAACAUCUCUAAACAAAAAACUACAAUUUUAUGUAUUAACACAUUAACCUUAAUUGACCCAAUUUAUUGAUCAACGAACCAAG
Molecule: ribosomal RNA, 428 nt
Filed under: Anomaloglossus stepheni group sp. ABGD cluster 20
Lineage: Eukaryota; Metazoa; Chordata; Amphibia; Anura; Aromobatidae
Description: partial large subunit ribosomal RNA
Rfam family: Bacterial large subunit ribosomal RNA
Source: RNAcentral